RNAcentral lists this ribosomal RNA (435 nucleotides) under uncultured bacterium. Its description in RNAcentral is "partial 16S ribosomal RNA". It matches the Rfam family "Bacterial small subunit ribosomal RNA", at positions 29 to 507 of the family's 1533-position model. The record is from RNAcentral.
AGCGAACGCUGGCGGCAGGCUUAACACAUGCAAGUCGAACGGGCUUCUUCGGAAGUCAGUGGCAGACGGGUGAGUAACACGUGGGAACGUGCCCUUCGGUUCGGAAUAACUCAGGGAAACUUGAGCUAAUACCGGAUACGCCCUUUUGGGGAAAGGUUGACUGCCGAAGGAUCGGCCCGCGUCUGAUUAGCUUGUUGGUGGGGUAACGGCCUACCAAGGCGACGAUCAGUAGCUGGUCUGAGAGGAUGAUCAGCCACACUGGGACUGAGACACGGCCCAGACUCCUACGGGAGGCAGCAGUGGGGAAUAUUGGACAAGGGGCGCAAGCCUGAUCCAGCCAUGCCGCGUGAGUGAUGAAGGCCUUAGGGUUGUAAAGCUCUUUUGUCCGGGACGAUAAUGACGGUACCGGAAGAAUAAGCCCCGGCUAACUUCGUG